Long non-coding RNA from Symphalangus syndactylus (siamang), 15508 nucleotides. RefSeq lists it as uncharacterized. Lineage: Eukaryota; Metazoa; Chordata; Mammalia; Primates; Hylobatidae. The record is from RefSeq and is a predicted model, not a curated record.
UUUAACUACUACUGGUCUAAAUUUACUUUAGUGAAGAAAAUUUUGGCUCUAACUAAAACUCAUCUAAACUUUCCAUUUCACCGUGAUGUUUUCUUUUCUUGUAUUCAGCACAAGUCUUUUCUAAUCUAAGAAAUGGCUCUUACAGGCCCUCGUCAAAUGUUUGUUUUCCAAUUUAAAAGCAUUUCUCUGUACACAUACAUAAAACAUUAAAAGCUUCAGUGAUGUGUCCAAAGUUGCUCUAAGGCGGGAAUAGCUGAUCUGACCCUCCGCCAUCCACACAUAGGCGCUACUUCACAAAUGUGUCUGGGUAAGACCCUGCCCCAUCGGCGUCCCCUGAAACUUCUCUUCCUUCAAUCUCACUUUGAUAAGCACACAUGCUUGGACUCAAACAGGUCAUCUCCAGUAUCCAUUUCUUUUUUUUUUUUUUUUUUGAGUCGGAGUCUGGCUCUGUCGCCCAGGCUGGAGUGCAGUGGCGCAAUCUCGGCUCACUGCAAGCUCCGCCUCCCGGGCUCACGCCAUUCUCCUACCUCAGCCUCUCGGAGUAGCCGGGACUACAGGCGCCUGCCACCACGCCCGGCUAAUUUUUUUUUUGUAUUUUUAGUAGAGACGGGGUUUCACAGUGGUCUCGAUCUCCUGACCUCGUGAUCCGCCCGCCUCCGCCUCCCAAAGUGCUGGGAUUACAAGCGUGAGCCACCGUGCCCGGCCAAGUAUCCAUUUCUUUUGUUUUCUUUUGUCCCACAAUAGAGUUAUAAAUACACUGUCCGGUCGUCCAAAUGCUUCAAGUGGUUUUACAUGCUUUAUUCCAACGAUCUUCUCAGUAUCAAUGUAAGAACAGAGAGGAUGAAGAAAUUUCAAUCAUUCUUUAAGGGAAAAAAAAGGCAUUUAAAAUAUCAAUUAUUUUGUGAUUGGUUCAAGAUCUUACAGGUAUGGCAGAAUCAGAACUAAAGUACCAGUGUUCAGACCCUCACGAAUAUGGUGAAUUCAUUGAAAGGGGCCAGGCGGAGACCAAACUACACCGGUCGCGGUCAAGAGAUCUUUAAUGGAGGUAUGGAGCGGCACCACGCAAGAAGAAGGAAGAGAAGAGAGAGGGCUGCUGGCGUGCCCAAGGGAAGGCGGGAGAUGCUUCUUUCUGACUGGCCCUCCUUUGGCGGGUUCAGACAGUGCCCAGUCAAGGAGGGGAAAAGAACCGGGAACCGGCCCCAUCUUAAGGUACGGCGCCAUUUUAAGGUACCCCAUGUUACCUAACAUUCAUCCUCCUACUCUCUCUCAUAAUAUAGAGUAAACCUAAAUGUAACCUGAACCACUUAAAGGUGGGGUGGGGAGAAGGAGAGAAAAGAGGGGAAGGGGACCAUGAACAUUAAACCAUUACACUAGAAAUUUUCUUUGUUUCUAAACUGUCAUAGGAGUAGAGAAAAAAAAGAGAGAUUUUAAAAAGAAAUUUUCUUUCUUUUAAGCUACGUCCCUAUUGCUCACUUUGAAAAAAGAAUGAAAAUAGGCCAGGCACGGUGGCUCACGCCUGUAAUCCCAACACAUUGGGAGGGCGAGGUGGGUGGAUCACCUGAGAUCAGGAGUUCGAGACCAGCCUGGCUAACAUGGCAAAACCCCGUCUCUACUAAAAAUACAAAAAUUAGCCGGGCAUAGUGGUGUGUGCCUGUAACGCCAGCUACUGGGGGACUGAGGCAGGAGGAUCUCUUGAACCUGGGAGGUGGAGGUUACAGUGAGCUGAGAUCAUGCCAUUGCACUCCAGCCUGGGCAACAGAGUGAGACUCCAUCUCAAAAAGGAAAAUACAAAACACCCUCUUACCAAUCCUUACUCAGAAUUGAAAUUUUCUAUUUUUUGUGUGACUCUUUUACUAGAGAUGUUCUCUUUUACUGGUAAUCAGAGGGUCCAUGCCAUCUUAUACAUCCUCUCAAUGAAUAUGACUUCAUAGACUCAUCCCUGUCAUACCAUCCCAUUCUAAAGACAAAUAAAAUGUCUUAUUAGGCAAUAUUUGCCUUGACAUUCUGUUAUUUGGGAAUUUGCACUGUUUCGAUUUCAUUGGAAAUAAUGCUACCAUGAGAAACUUUAUUCUUCACAGUGAUUUGCAAUUUCCUGUGGUUUCUAGGCUACAAACAAUAAAGUUUUACCUCUUUUUAAUUAUUGUGAAAUUCUUCCCUGGAUAUAUUGUACCCAUUUACAGAAACAUCACCAAAGUGUAAGUGAAGAUGUUGUUCUACAUUUCAAUCAACGCUGGGUUUAAAACUCAUAUUUAUUUUUUUAAAGUGUCUUAGGCACAUAACUUCACUUUAAAGUUGUCUUAAUAUAUGUUCUUUCAGCUCCUAAUGAGGGUGUGUACUACUCAGGGUGAUAAUUUAUCAUCUAUAUUUCAUCCUGGGUCUCCUUCACUACUCACACUGCCUCUUUUUAAGCACUGAAUCAUGCCAUAGGUGGAGGAAGGGGACAAAAAUAAUUGUUUAAUCAUAACUAUACAACCAACUCUUUAUGAUGAAAAACAGAAUUCUCUACUUCAGGAAAAUGAGAUUAAAUUUAGCCUUCUGAAAAUGAGUUACAAUCAAGCGUAAAUACUUGUUAACAGGUUCACACAUAAGCACAUGAAAACAAAAUUGGCCAAGCUGAGGCAGGAGGAUCGUUUGAGACCAGGAGCUUGAGACCAGCUUGGGCGACAUCAUGAGACCUCAACUCCAAAAAAAAUUUUAAAAAUUAGCCGAGCAUAGCGGUGCACACCUGUAGUCCCAGCUACACAGGGAGGAUCAUUUGAGCCCAGGAGUUCGAGGUUACGGUGAGCUACGAUCUCACCACUGCACUCCAGCCUGGGCAAAAAAGUGUGAUGGGAGGAAGGAAGGGAGGGAGGACGGGAGGGAGGGAAAGAAAGAAAAGGAAGAAAGGAAGGGAGGAAGGAAAACUGACUGGUCUAAGAGGGAGAACGCUUUCCCUCCUCUCUCCUCUAUGCCCUUCUCUCAGACAAACCCCAAUUUCUCCAUCAUGACAGGGCUGUUCAAAAAGUCAUCAAGGUGUAGUCUUAUCCUUUGAAUGAUUCUCCUUCUUACCUCAACAGUUAUCUCUAUGUCCAAAACACCUCUUCCUUUCCAUUCCCACUGCUCCACGGUUUGGGCCUUCCUCACUUCUGCCCAGACUAGCAAAGUCAUGUUCCAGCUUCUAGUCUUUGUCCUAUUCUAUGUGGUACUAUCAGAGGAACUACCUAUAGUACAGCUCUGACCCUGUCUCUGCAGUGUACACAAUUCUGAGGUGAUUUAUGCACUGACAAACCAUAUCCCAACUGGUUCUCACCAAGAAAACGCAUUGCCAGGAGCUCUUCACUGGUACCUCCUUUGGUAUUUAAAAGCUUCUUGAGGAACGUGAAUGUGCCUUAUCAUAGUGCUUGGCAAGACUCUAAGAGUACUCAAAAGAACUAAUUUCGAGUUUUCUGUGUACUAUUUCAUAAUACCCAGUCAUCAGAUGUAAGCUGAGUAAAACCAGUGUCUUAAUUGUAUCUCCCACUGUUCGGUGCUUUCAGUGUGGAAUUUCUACAAAUCAUCAUUGAAGAAAUGAACUGUGGAACCAAUUGCUCUUUAUUGAAUCCACUGGUUGAGUGCUCUAGAAUAAGCCACCUAGAAACAUGCUGGUAUUUAAAACAUCAAUGACAAGGAAGAUAGUAAUACUCAAAAUACUCCCACGAAUUUGUUUUUGAAAAGAAAUUAUUGUAAACACAAAAUAAAUGACAGGCCUUCAGGUGAAGCUCUAUUAUCAUAUCAUACCUAUGACUGACACCAGCAAAGAUACGGAUGUGCCUCAGGAAGAAAUGUGUUACCAAGACACUAAUCCAUAUAUUUUCUAAAGAAAUCGCACGUCCUAAAAAUAUAAUCCUUCCAAAAUUGUUAUUAUAAGUAAGGCAAGGCUUAGUUUGCUUGAUCAGAUUUUGACCAAUAAUAAUAAGAAAAAGAAUGGAAACCCCCCCUUGACAAUCAGUUACACAUUCUCCUUAAUCCCAGCAUGAUGUAACAGACACUGUCUGAACUCAUAGUUGGAAUUCCAAGUUCAUGCUCUUUCUUUCGUUAGUUUCAUGACCUUGGGCAAGUCACUUCACCCUAGGAUGUCUCUGUUUCUUCACCUGGGAAAUGAGAAUGUUUGGCUCUGAUCUUUCAGAUUUCAUCUAGCUCCAGAAUUCAAUGAUUUAUGAGUAUUUAAAAUAAGCUUUUUACUGAUAUAUAUAACAGCAUGAAUGAAUCUCAAAUGCACAAUGCUAAGUGAAGAAGCCAGAUUCGAAAGGCUACCUAUUCUAUGAUAAUAUUCACAUGACAUUCCGGAAAAAACAGAACCAUAGGGAUGGAGAGCAGGUCAGUGGUUACUGGGGACUGGAGGUACAGGGGAUUGUUUGACUACAAAGGGGUAGCACGAGGAAAUGUUCUUUGAGGGUGGGGUAACAGAACUGUUCCACAUCUUGAUUGUGGCAGUGGUCUUGAACUCCUGGCCUCAAGCCAUCCUGCUGCCUUCGCCUCCCAAAGUGCUGGGAUUCCAGACGUUAAGCCACCGCACCCUACCCUAUGUGGCAGUGGUUAAUCCAGGCAUUUGCCAAAAUUCACAGAAAUGUACACCAAAAAGAGUACAUUUUACUGUAUGUGAAUUAAAAUGAUUUAAGGUAUUAGAAAAUUUAUUUCUCCAAAUCCAAUGCAUCUUUGAUGACAUAAUAGCUGGACAAUAUCCCCCAAGAAAUUAACACCAACCUUCUGGAUUUACUUUUGCCGUUUUAAGACUGAUGAACCAGGUUUACACCCAAAUAAUUUGCGGUGUGUUUUUACGGUGGUGGUGGUGUUAAUCUUUCAAUGGACAUUCUACAGAAUGCUUCUGUGUAGCUCUGUUUUCCAGUGUGGAAUAUCUAAAAAUGAAACAGCGAAAUGAACUCUAGCGGGAGUGAUUCUAGGGCUGCCCAGGACCUGUGUGGUCUUCAUGGAAUGUUAGAAUGUUGUUGUUAUCUUUGUGAUUCAUACUAAAGAUAUGAGGCACACAACAGGAAUGACAAUAACAACACAGCAAUAAUAGCAACAGCUAACAUUUAAUCAGCACUUAGUAGGUUCCAGGCACUGUUUUAAGUGCUUACCUACAGCUGAAGUGCUACAGUAGCUCAUUUACUUCUCAGAACAAUCCUGUACUAGGUUAUAUUGCUAUCUCAUUUGACAGUUGAGAAGAUCAAACAAUGUUCUCAAGGUCAACUUGCCAGUGGGUGGCAGAGUCAGAAUGCAAACCUAGACGGUCUAACUCUUACCACAAAGCUAAAGCUGCCUAGAAAAGCUUCAUUUAAAGAAUAACUUAUUCAUCUUCGUGGAGAGUCUGUGGCUACUACUACAUGCUUCCACAAAUUCUUAUCUAGGCUUUCUUCAGAAAUUGGACAGGCCAGGCAUGGUGGCUCACGCCUAUAAUCCCAGCACUUUGGGAGGCUGACACUGGCAGAUAACUUAAGGUUGCAAGUUUGAGACCAGCCUGGCAAACAUGGUGAAACCCCGUCUCUACUUAAAUACAAAAAUUAGCCAGGCAUGGUGGCAAGCGCAUGUAAUUUCAGCUACUUGGAAGGCUGAGGCAGGAGAAUCGCUUGAAUCCAGGAGGCGGAGGUUGCAGUGAGCCAAGGUUGCGCCACUGCACUCCAGCCUGGGCAACAGAGUGAGAUUCUGUCUCAAAACCAAAACCAAAACUACAACAACAACAAAAAGACAGAGAAAGAAAUUGGACAGAGGGCUUUCUCUAAUUAGGACAAGCCAGCAUCUCCAUCUCUGUCUGGUGAUUUCAUGACGUCUGCAUAGCAAAAAGCCCUACAUACACUAUUUUACACAAUCAGGUACAACUGCUUUUUCCUAUUCCAUUCUCCUUGCUCGCAGCAAAGCUGGCUUUAGCUGACAGGCAAGAUUUUUUUCCUAAAGCCUUCCAAGAUAAGGUAAGAGAGGGGCUGAGCUUCUCCUACCUGCCACCAGUUAGGGUCUACCUUUUCUUUAAAUCAUUUUCACUAUUUUAUGUAGGUUUAAGCCUCUGGGUAGAAAUCUGUCCCAAAGCAGACAAGUUCCUGUUCCUGAAAUGACUAAUUCCUUGCACAAGGCAAGAGGCUGGUUAGAACCCUUUCAACUAGAGAGGAUGAUCAGUUUAAAAAAACAAAACAAAACAAAAACAAAAAAAAACAGGACCAAGGACCAAGCUGCUGAGACUGAAGGAAACCACACAAACAAAAACAAUACACCCAUUAGACAGUACUUGUAAGGUAUUCAGACCCUGAGAAAUUAGUUUGAAUGCAGUAGAAAGGCAGAUUACAGGAGAGAAAGGGCUCCCAACUAGUUCAAGGGUUUGUUUAGUCUACUUAUCAAGCCCAAACUAAUCAUCUUAAUGGCUGUUUAUGCCCAGAACAGGGCCUUUCAAAGAAAGCAGGGCAGACCCAGGCUAGCAACCUUCCUCUCUUCAAGGACUGCAACCUUCUCCUCUCCAAGGACCCCACGAUUCUCCUUACUAAGGAUCCCCACUCUGGGCAGGUAAAACAGUAGGCCAUAGUUCUAUUUAUUUCCUAUCUUCAAACGAGACUAUACACUCCAAAAAGCAGUGGGGUAUCAUCUCUGUUGUCCGUUGCUCUAUCUAGCUUAUAGAUAAUUUUUGAGAUAAAAACUUGAUAUAUAUAUAUAAGAUAUAUAUAUAUAUAUCUCAGAGGGUUAAUGAACUGUCUGGAGGGAAAGAUGGGAACUCAGACUUAAUUUAAAUCCUUGCUUUUCCCCGAUGCAGACACUGAAACCUUGCGAAUGAGCGUCAACAGGUGCCUUCCUCCUGCAAGGAAACUUUUACAAAAUCUUCAAGGCAAGGUCCAUUUACAUCAGGAUUUCAUCCAGCCAGAAGACACUGUAUGGAAAGACCAGUUCCCCUUCUCCCGCCCUUCUCGCUGUGCGUGGCAGCUCAGUGGAGGUCUGGACACUUGCCACUGAGUGCCAAGAGCAAAACCCAGGCCAAUCAGCAGGGCGGAUCCAAGCCCCUGACUGCAGCAGAGGUGCCUCUCCGCAGCCAGGCUGCAGCUACCCACAGCCUUGGGGCCGCCCUGACCCUGCCUCAGGCAGGAGCCCCGCCCCCUUCUCAAAGGACGUCACAGAGUACCUGCCCUUGGGGUGCCAGACAUCUUUCUUUGCUCUCUUUUUUUCAGAUUCAAUUUGCCUGAAUAGGAAGAACCUCUCCUCCUUCCUGCCUAAUCUAUUCCCAGAAAUCUCAGCUGCUCUCCCCAACUUUCACAGAGCAAAUCAGUAGGCCCACCACUGCCCAUGUUGGAGAUCACACUGAGCCUCGUCUGGACCCCCCACUGCUUCUGGAGCAUCUCCACAGACAGGUCAAAGCUGCAUAUCCAAACCUGAAUCCUUCAUCUUCCUCUCCCUCUUGACCCCCAAUUGGCAACACCACCCUGCGCACCAGGCUGAGGGUCAGGCUUAACUGUCCCCUCUCCCCAUCUCCUACAUCCUCUGCAAGCUUUCUAAAUUUUAUUUCACACACAUUUCUCAAAUCCAGCUCCCAGAAUUUAGAUAAGACCACAGCCCUAGUUCAAGCCCAAAUCCAUCCUCCUCACUGCCCUUCUUGCCCUCUCUUCUUUCCAGGGGCCGCCUAACACAGAAGUCUAACUCCAUCGCCCUGUGUCCCUCUGCCCUACCCUCCAAGCCCCCCAGUAACAUCUGAGAACCCAUGUUCCUUUCCACUGUCACCCACUCAAUCCUUGCGGCAGGGACCUGCACUGGUUCCUACCCCCCCCCACAGGAAGCUUCCUGCUUCCUGCUCAGGCUCCACCCUCUCCACAGAAAGGCCCCUCCUCCCCUUCACCCAGCUAAUAACUCUGACUUUGUUCAGGGACUCCCCACCUCCACACUGGGCUAAGUGCUUCAUACACAUUUCUGUCAUUGGAUCAAGCUCCUAAAGGGCAGGGACUGGGUAAUAUUUCCCUGUGUAGUCUCAGCACCCAGUUACACACUGUGGGCUCCUGUUACACACAGCAGGCUCUCAGCAAUUGGGAUAUUGCAUUUGUACUUUCAAAUUACUAGCGGAUGCUCUCUAUUACCUACCACAGGGCAAUCAAUACCUAAGUCUGCCUUAGACCCAUUCUGGUGCUACCUAUUUAAAGAAGGCAGACUCCUAGACACCAAGGGUUGUGUCUAUGGAACAUAUUUUGUCUAGCAACUUACGCACUUUGGGGUACUUAAUAAUGCGAUGGAGUUGAAGAUGAUGACGGUGACAAUGACGUCAACCAGGACAGGAAACUGGAGAUGAUUAGACAUCCUUUAUUCUCCAAGGCUGUGUAGCUGCUUAAAACAGUUCUCGAUGAGUCACAGAAUGACAGCUCAUUUAUCUUGAAACCUUAACUAACCAGAAUACAGCAUGGACCCUCAGUCAGACACACUUCUGAGAAGCCAAAAUACGUAUCAGAAAGUCCACACACAAGUUAAAGAGGUAACUUGUGGAAGGGGUCAUCUGGUCUGCAUUCAGGGCCUAUUUGUUCUUGCUUAACGUUCACCUUGAUAAUCUGUGCGAUCUGAUUCCUCAGUCACAGCAAGUUAUUUGACGUAAAAUAUGAGAAGAGGUGAGGUGGCAAGAGGCUCUGGGGACUGACACAGUGGGAGCAGUGCAGAAGAGAGAACCCUGACAAACUUUAGAAGAACACAAAGUACAUAGUAGUCUUGGGAUGGCUCAUGUUGAGGGACAACGAGUUCCACACAUAUUAACAAACCCUAAUGACACCAUCACACAAUAAAGGUACAAUAUUUACCCUCACAAUGAUGAGCGAGAUACCAAGAAAGAGUUACAUUCUGUGCAAUGUUUUCUACCUGCAGAGAAAAGGAAGUUGAGAGAAUAUUUUAAGAUGAUUUCUAUCAAGGUGAUUUUUUUUUAAGGAGUUUUAGCAUUUACUGGAGUAGAUUGCGUUUAUCUGGAAAUUUUACUGCUGAGAUACCUGACAAAUGAGCCAUUGCUUAACUUCAUCCAGCAUGGAACUAUUAAGUAGCCACGGCACAGGCCUUGCCCACCAAGAGUGCACAGCCUAAAACAGCCCAAUACCCUGGAGAAUACAUUUGUAUAUUUAGUUUUAUUUUAAAACACAGUGAAACAGGAAACCCUAUCUGCCAGAAAACUGCCAAAUAUAGCAUGUCCCACACCUCCCCAUCCAUGCAAAACACAAACGGACUAAGAUUUCAAUUUAGGACAAGAGCAUAAGAGAUGAGUCUAUUCCAAGGCAGGUUCCACUUGGGAAAUGAUCAUCUUCUUUUGGUCUUGAUAACCCACUCUCCUCAGUCUCUCUCUCCUUUCCUCUCUCCCUCCACCUUUCACCACCUCAUCUCAGCUCCUUCAGUGUACAGGAGCUGCUUAGACGAAGAAGAAGACGAAGCCGAGGUUUUGUUCGCUUUGUUACAGUCCCAUGGUCAUUUCCUUAGGGGGUCGGCAAGUACAACCAAAGUAAAUCCAAAGAAAGGAAGGAUGAGAGAUACCUGGUUAUUUUUCACAAAAGAUAGGGCUUUGAAAUGGGAUUUUAAAAAAAGUUGGGAAGCAUUAAAGGGAAAAUCUUCCCGAAACCGGAUACUAAAGAAGGAAUGUACUGAAGGAAGACAGGGGGUGAAGAGGGGCCAGAAAGAAAAAAAAAGGUUAAUUUUAUAAAUAAUACCAAAGAGUUAAGUGGAGAGAAUGACGGGAAAGAAGCUAAAGUUUGGCCACUUAUCUGACCAUACCUGCAAAACUGGAAAUUUCACAACCUCAUCUCCCAGCUCACGUUCCUUCCUGGCGACAAGAGGGAAGUGAAGACUGUUAACCAGAUGGGAAAAGUUACCACAAUAUUUCCAAUAUUGUGUUUCCACCAAAUAUUUCCAAACUGGCAUAGGACAGAGGGCAUGAACCAGCUAUCAUUGACUGGCUUGGCAUUUUUGUCAACCUGCCUGUAUUAAGAAACUUGUCUUGAAAAUAGCAUUUUUACUUAAAGCUAAAAGCCUUCAAGUCCUCCACGUUUUUCUCCACUACGAAGUAUUAGAAUAGAGAGAAUAAGCUAUCAUUCAUUUAUUCAACACUUACUGAACACCUAUUAAUUAUGUGCUCGGUCCAGGGAGUUCUUAAGAGUUCUCACAUUUUCAAAAACUGGGAGAACUUCUAUUUUGCAUGUGUGAAGUGUGUUUAUUUAUACCCAAACAAUAUUGUGAUAAAGAACAUUUGCAGUUCACUCAAACGGUCAAAGGUUUUUUGAAUCCAAGCUCUAUUACAUACAAUGUGCACGUCCUUGGGCAAAUUAUUUCUCUAGACCUUGUUUUCUUCAUCUGUGUAAUGGGGAACUAGGUUUCAUCAUUUUUUAUGAAGAUUAAGUGAAAUAUCAGCUGGCAAGCACUUAACAAGCUGGCACAUGGCAUUCAAGCAAUCAUGCAUUUAGUAAAUAUUUAUUGAGCACCUCGUAUAUGCCAGGCUCUGUUGCAAACACAGAGCCUCAGCAACCAAAAGGAGAAGCCAGAUUCCCCCUUCCUUAUCCUUUCCAUAUCAUCACCAGGACUUCUCAAGGGCUCUGAAAGCCUGUGAAAAUGCAACCAACUGGACGCCGUACCAAUGCCAAACACCAUUAUUUUCAAUAUCUCAUGGUGAUCUGCACCAAGGAUUGAAUUUGCAAGUGAGAUUCACGCUGCCCAUGAGUCCUGGGCACAAAGGCCAUGUGGCUACUGGUCUGCAUCAGGCUAUUCACCUGGGGACCCAAGAGCAGAGCCCUGGAGCCACCCACACCCUGGCCUCCAGGGUUUAGACAGAAAUAGAACUUAAGAGACAUAGGUUGCUGUCUCUCUUGCCUUUUUGCUCUUAAAAUGAGAAAGGUGACUUAUUUUGAGGUGGGGGAGGGAUGCCCUCUAUUCAGAGGAAGUUCCCACAUGAACUGCUACAUUGUUUCUCUGACUCAUUUUUACUUUUCCUCCCCAUUCCUUCCCAGCCCUCCCUUGAUGUCUCGGUCUGUUCCAUAUGUGGUACAAUAGGCUCUUUGUUUAUAAGAUUCUAAUGUGCAAUAAAAUCAGUUAUGAGGCCAAGAAUAAUUUAUGCACAAAAAAAUAAGGACAGUAAAAUUGACAUGAAUUGUCUGUUUUACAGUACUUUUUGAUCUGUUACAUUCCUGUUGAUAGAAUUGAUAGACACUAGCUAAAAACUUUAAGUGUUCAUAAAACUCUAUUCACAUUGGAAGUAUAUCAGACACACACACACACGUGCACACAAACAACUCAGGAGCAAAACAUUUUUAAAAGCCUUAAGCAAAAUACUGAGUUCUUAAUUUUGUUACUGGCACAAGCAUCCACCCAGUCUCACAAGUAAGAAAUCUGUAGCUAUUUUCUUUUUUUUCUUUCUUUCUGUCUUUGUUUUUAGAGACAGGGUCUCACUCUGCCACCCAGACUGGAAUACAUCUGGCACCAUCAUAGCUCACCGCAGUCUCGAACUCCUGGGUUCCAGCAAUCCUCCUGCCUGGAGUUAUUUUCAGUGGGUAAGGCAAUGAGGUUUCAUGGGAAAUCAUAGACAGUUUGUAGCCAAACAUGCUUGGCUCUGAAUCUCAAUCCUAUUCACUUCUAGCUAGGAGAUUUUUAAACGUCUCAAAGCCUCAGUUACUGCAUAUGAAAAAUGUAUUUUGGCGAAAAUUAAAUUAGAUAAAGGAUGAGCAGAAUGUCUGAACACGUGUUUGACAAUCAGAAAGUUAUUUCUCCAACCUCCCUUCCCCAACACACCUCUCAAAAUCUUUCUUUUCCAUUCUAUCACUCAGUUUCAGCUCUCCUGGACUACUGCCCUCCAACAGGUUUUUCAGCCUUUUGUCUACUACUCCUUCAAACCAUCCCAAACCUGCUAUUAGAAACAGCAUUCAAAAAUCAGAAAUUUGAUGAUGGCACUCACUGCCACAAAUCCUCCUAUGGCGAUAACAUUCAGAACAAAUCUGCAUUCAGAGAAAGUCCGCGUGUCCCCAACUCAUCUGUUCAGCCUCACCUCCCCCACGACCACCCCACCCCUGCCCCUUGAACGACCGCAGCCCCCACGUUCCAGGCACCCAGUCAUUGUGAGUGGAGCAUGCCAUCUGCUCUGGUGCAUGGACUCUCACUGCCACUCCUCCGGGAUGCCAGCCCCACUCCACUCCCUCCCAUCUGUAGAGAUCACUGUCUCCUUCAAGGCUUAGCCCCAGUGCCACUUCCUCUCUGCAACGUUCCCGGAUUUCCUCUGCUGACUCAAGCCUCCACUCAUGUGUCUAUGCCUUUCUCAAGUUUAUUAUUUAAACUUUUGUUCUCCAGUUAUCCAUAUCUAUGAGGGUCUACCCCACUAGACUCAGUUCCUCCAUGACAGAGACCAAAUUGUAUUCAUUUUUACAAACAGUCCUCAAGUUUUAUCAUUCCUUGCAAGAAGAAAAUAAAACCAAAUAGAUAAUUUAUUGAACUGAAAGGACAGAAUGAGGAUAGAAGAAACUAAACAAUGCCCCGUGAAUAGAGGCAUUUCUUAGUGGAAAAACAUAUAUAUGUGUGUGUAUGUUUGUAUAAUGUAGAAAUGGAGCAAGCCAUUACCAAAGUGCUUCAAAUUCUGGCAAAACUAAGAUGCACUUAAAAUGAAGUCUUAGGUGUAUUUAAAAAAAAAAAAAAGGUUUCAAAAACCUCAGCAAACCACAGAGGUAUACACCAUAUGUGGUAGAUUAAAAAUGACCACAAAUUCUUUGAUCGUUCUUCCAUGGACAGAUGUGUCUAUUCCACACCCUGCAUCCACCACUUUCAAAGGUGAGUUGCCUAUAACUGCUUGGACCAAUCAAGUAUGGGAGUGAUUUUGAAUAUGGGAGUGAUAUUAUGCCAUUUCCAAACCUAGUGCUUAAUAUGACUAACAGCUUUGGCCUUGGCCUCUUGAAACCUUGGGCUUCCCUGUAAGAAAUAUGAGUACCCUAAUGGAGAAACCACAUGGAAUGGCUCCAAGGCUCUAUGGAGAGGCAGACUGGCCCAGUGGGGAGCUCAGUCUUCCAGGCAUCCUUGUCAAGGUGCCAGGAAGGUGAGUGAAGCCAUAUUGGAUCCUCCAGACCAGAGCAGCCAUUGACUGACUAACAGCGAGGGACCAGAGUCAAUGCUACAUGGAAUAGCAGAAUCACCCAGCUGAGCCCUGCUUGAACAAAAUGACAGAUAUAAUCAAAUAAUGGUUGUUUUAAGCCAUCAAGUUUUGGUAUGGUUUGCUAGUUAGCAACAGGUAACUGGAACACAAUCUUAAUCCCUUUUAGCCCAGCUUCCUACCCUACCUAACAGAAUACUUUUCCUCCAAAGGGAGGAAAGUGGCCUUGUGUAGAAUAGAGCUCCCAAGUCACUGAUGGUCUAGUUGAGGGGAUGAGAAACUCACCAGGCUCUUGGACAGUUGCAGUUGUAACGCACUUGUGUAAUGUAUAAUACACAUUUCUUUAAGAUAAGUUCAGUUUACCCACAGCUGUUCUAUCUGUCAACAGAUAUUGGGUCAAAUGUGGUUAAUAACUUCAGGAACAAUUUGGUAGAAUACUACUCAGGAAGCCAGGAGACCCUCCAUUUCAGUCUUUUACCAUCCACAUCUCUUGUGUAUAUGAGGAAGAAAUGUUUGUGUCUUCAUUUGCCUAGCUAUCACAUGAAGAGAAGCAUACAUGAUACCUCUUAGAUCAGUGUAAAUUAGAAAUGAAAUCAGGUUAUGGAUUGAAAACACCUUCAGUUUCUUGGCCAAAAAAAUGCUAGGUAAACUCAAGGUACUAUUAUUAUUUUGCAAAUAUGUUGUUCCACUAUAUAAAAUAGCCUAAAUUAGUAAAUGCAAUUCCAUGUGCUGGGUCAGCUGAGCAUUUUUUUUUACAUUUGCCAGAUUCCCCUUGUUUUGUCUUUCUAGCCAAUAAAACAACACUAAAAUAUAUGGAGAAUGUAACUAACUUUUGAAAAAGAGAUAACAUAAGUUGGAACCAGAAGAAGUCAUCUGUGCCAUAAGUUUGUGUCUUCUAUGAGCCAUCAGCCAGGCAAAACGAAGUGGGAAACUUGAAACUUAACAUGUAUAAAUGAUUUGUGUUGUUUUGUUUUAAUGCUAAGUACUCAGCAAAAAGCUGAGUUAUUAGAAAAUGGACACUAGCCUGUGCUUGUGGGCAUAAAUUCUCCAUCUAUGAGAAGGCAUGAAUUGAGGCACUAUAUUGAUUACAUUAUGUCGUUUAUUCUCAUACAACUCUAUAUUGUAGAAACGAUUUCCAGCCCCAUCUUCAAGAUGGGAAAUGGAAGCCUAGAGAGACUUUGUUAUUCUUCUAUAUCUGUAUUUAGCAAUUGCUAUUGCUGCCAUAAGAAAAUAACACAGGGUGGCUUGAACAACAGAAAUUUAUUUUCUCACAGUUCUGGAAGCUAGAAGUCCAAGAUCUCUCCUGAGGCCUCUAUCCUUGGCUUGCAGAUGGCCGCCUCCUAUCUGUGUCCUCACACGUGGCCUUUUCUCUGUGCAUGCUUAUGCCUGAUGUCUCUUCCUCUUCUUAAAAUGACACCAGUUAUACUGGACUAGGGCCCCACCCUUAUGACCUCAUUUAACCUUAAUUAUCUCCUUCAAGGCCCGCCCUCCAAAUACAGUCACAUUGAGGAUUAGGGUUUCAACCUAUGAAUUUUGCAGGCACAUGAGUCAGUCCCUAAGAACUCUACAAAUCACCAAGCCAGUCAGUGCAGAGCCAGAGUACACACCCUGGCUCCCUGCCAUUGUCCGUGGUCCCCCUGAUUACUAUCCGUGGUGCUUCACCAUCCCAUCACUGCCUCAGUCUAUGUCCAUAGAAAAUGGCCUUGUGUAAGAUUACUCAUCAACACCAAGUGAAGAGAAUGAAGGCCACAGCAGGAAGUAAAGGAAAGAAGGGAAGCUGAAGCUAUAGGAACACAAAUGUAAAAUCCAGAAAAAUGGACACUUAACAAGGCAGAAAGUGCAGCUCACACCUAAACCUAUUCUAUGGCCAGACUCCCCUCACCGUCCCCAUAAUGCAGGCCUUGUUGUAACGGCCGGAAACUCCCCGACCCCACUCUCAACGGUGAGGAAGGACCACUGCUUGCUCUCCUACUAGAAGUCAUUGGCAGGGCACAACUCAAUCACGUGCUUUUUGCAAAAUUACAGGAUAAUAUACAAUUUAAUUUUUUCAUCACAUUUUUGCAACCAAAAAAUUUCAAAGACCUUGGAGUACUAUAUAGCUAAUAAAUGCAAUUAAUAAAGAUUUUGUGAUCAGCUAAAACAGGUUAAAUCCCAAAAAGCAAGACAUGAUUUUUCUCCCUCUUUCAGAUAAUGCAGGGAAGCAUCUCAUAUUUAUAAAGCACAAGCUUUCAACUAUAUUGGAUUUUCCUUUUAAAAAGAACAAUAAUUUAAAGUGGCUUCUAGCAGAGAAAUGUUAGGUACAUUUAAAUGGGUAUUUGUGUUCUGAAAAUCCUAAUUGGAACUCUUUUAUUGUUGUUGUUUAUAUGUGUGUUUGUUGUGCUUCUGAGAAAGGGCUGAGGUUCUUUUGUGCAUUAGAAAGCCUUUCAUCUAAAAUUCCAGUUUCAUACA